This is a long non-coding RNA of Tupaia belangeri chinensis (Chinese tree shrew), 704 nucleotides long. RefSeq lists it as uncharacterized. Lineage: Eukaryota; Metazoa; Chordata; Mammalia; Scandentia; Tupaiidae. The transcript is spliced from 5 exons. The record is from RefSeq and is a predicted model, not a curated record.
UGCGCCCAGCUCCCUAGCUGCCGGCUCGCUCGGCCCAAAUCCCCGCGCCUUGAAAGAGAAGGUGGGACCGAGCCUUGACGCUUCUUCUACCGUCGGGACUGCUUUAAGUCUCCGACGCUUUUCACUAUGCAGAAGAGCCCUAGAGAACGCGUUAGAACGGCAAAGGAAUGACUCAGAAGCAAGAAUCGGGGACUCCUUGGACCCUUGGCAUAUUCUCUGUUAUACCAGUUCUAGGAUGGCUUCUUGCUACUGACACCAAAACAGGUCGUUGGGAAGCUUAUUAAAAAUUUCAAGAGGUAUGGCAGUACUGCAACUGUUCUCACUUAUGGAAGGUACUGGUUUCGCAUCCCAGGACUUCUUAUGUGUUCCAGUGCUGCCAUUUGACCUAAACCAGAGAAAGAGAAGCAGGCCAAGGUCAUGGGUAAGGAGUGGAGUGCAAGAGUGAGAGAAGGCAGAAAGGUUCAAUACCCAAGACCCACCUAACCAUGCAGUGUACCUACAGCAUCACAUUCAACCCUGGAUUUUCCCCAGUGUGUGUCUCCAGCCUCUUACUGAAGUACAGGAUGAUGCUGGAGGAGGACCGAUGCCAAUCCAAUGAUUAACUCUUGUUCUGAUUGAAAUCUGAUCCUGGUUGCUGCUAAGCUUCACUUCCAGUAACAUUCUUACACAAUUUAAUUGUGUUUAUUGCAGACCUUUCUGUUAAA